CCUACGGGGUGCAGCAGUGAGGAAUAUUGGUCAAUGGACGAGAGUCUGAACCAGCCAAGUAGCGUGAAGGAUGACUGCCCUAUGGGUUGUAAACUUCUUUUAUAUGGGAAUAAAAUGUUCCACGUGUGGGAUUUUGUAUGUACCAUAUGAAUAAGGAUCGGCUAACUCCGUGCCAGCAGCCGCGGUAAUACGGAGGAUCCGAGCGUUAUCCGGAUUUAUUGGGUUUAAAGGGAGCGUAGGUGGAUUGUUAAGUCUGUUGUGAAAGUUUGCGGCUCAACCGUAAAAUUGCAGUUGAAACUGGCAGUCUUGAGUACAGUAGAGGUGGGCGGAAUUCGUGGUGUAGCGGUGAAAUGCGUAGAUAUCACGAAGAACUCCGAUUGCGAAGGCAGUUCACUGGACUGCAACUGACACUGAGGCUCGAAAGUGUGGGUAUCAAACAGGAUUAGAUACCCGGGUAGUC
Molecule: ribosomal RNA, 460 nt
Filed under: uncultured bacterium
Lineage: Bacteria
Description: partial 16S ribosomal RNA
Rfam family: Bacterial small subunit ribosomal RNA
Source: RNAcentral